GUCAACGGCCAUACCACCCUGAAUGUACCCAAUCUCAUCUGAUCUCGGAAGCUGAGCAGGAUCGGGCCUGGUUAGUACUUGGAUGGGAAAAGAUACAUCAGUACUUUCAGUGUGUGGAAGUAUAAUGUUGACC
This 133-nucleotide ribosomal RNA is filed under the name Propithecus coquereli (Coquerel's sifaka). Lineage: Eukaryota; Metazoa; Chordata; Mammalia; Primates; Indriidae. The record is from RNAcentral.